RNAcentral lists this transfer RNA (76 nucleotides) under Candidatus Peregrinibacteria bacterium CG10_big_fil_rev_8_21_14_0_10_42_8. RNAcentral's name for it is "tRNA-Phe". It matches the Rfam family "tRNA". Rfam says of the family: Transfer RNA (tRNA) molecules are approximately 80 nucleotides in length. Their secondary structure includes four short double-helical elements and three loops (D, anti-codon, and T loops). Further hydrogen bonds mediate the characteristic L-shaped molecular structure. tRNAs have two regions of fundamental functional importance: the anti-codon, which is responsible for specific mRNA codon recognition, and the 3' end, to which the tRNAs corresponding amino acid is attached (by aminoacyl-tRNA synthetases). tRNAs cope with the degeneracy of the genetic code in two manners: having more than one tRNA (with a specific anti-codon) for a particular amino acid; and 'wobble' base-pairing, i.e. permitting non-standard base-pairing at the 3rd anti-codon position. The record is from RNAcentral. Lineage: Bacteria; Candidatus Peregrinibacteriota.
GGCCCGGUAGCUCAGUUGGUAGAGCACCCGCCUGAAGAGCGGGGUGUCACCAGUUCAAAUCUGGUCUGGGCCACCA